GCCCUUAGAGUUUGAUCCUGGCUCAGGACGAACGCUGGCGGCGCGCCUAACACAUGCAAGUCGAACGAGCGAGAGAGAGCUUGCUUUCUCGAGCGAGUGGCGAACGGGUGAGUAACGCGUGAGGAACCUGCCUCAAAGAGGGGGACAACAGUUGGAAACGACUGCUAAUACCGCAUAAGCCCACGGUGCCGCAUGGCACAGAGGGAAAAGGAGCAAUCCGCUUUGAGAUGGCCUCGCGUCCGAUUAGCUAGUUGGUGAGGUAAUGGCCCACCAAGGCAACGAUCGGUAGCCGGACUGAGAGGUUGAACGGCCACAUUGGGACUGGGACACGGCCCAGACUCCUACGGGAGGCAGCAGUGGGGAAUAUUGCACAAUGGGGGAAGCCCUGAUGCAGCGACGCCGCGUGGAGGAAGAAGGUCUUCGGAUUGUAAACUCCUGUUGUUGGGGAAGAUAAUGACGGUACCCAACAAGGAAGGACGGCUACUCUG
Molecule: ribosomal RNA, 488 nt
Filed under: uncultured bacterium
Lineage: Bacteria
Description: bacterial SSU rRNA
Rfam family: Bacterial small subunit ribosomal RNA
Source: RNAcentral